RNAcentral lists this ribosomal RNA (392 nucleotides) under uncultured bacterium. RNAcentral's name for it is "bacterial SSU rRNA". It matches the Rfam family "Bacterial small subunit ribosomal RNA", at positions 116 to 507 of the family's 1533-position model. The record is from RNAcentral.
CGUAUGCAAUNUACCUUUGCAGAGGGAUAGCCCAGAGAAAUUUGGAUUAAUACCUCAUAGUAUAGUACUUUGGCAUCAAGGAACUAUUAAAGUCACAACGGCAAAAGAUGAGCAUGCGUCCCAUUAGCUAGUUGGUAAGGUAACGGCUUACCAAGGCUACGAUGGGUAGGGGGUCCUGAGAGGAGAUCCCCCACACUGGUACUGAGACACGGACCAGACUCCUACGGGAGGCAGCAGUGAGGAAUAUUGGACAAUGGGCGCAAGCCUGAUCCAGCCAUGCCGCGUGCAGGAUGACGGUCCUAUGGAUUGUAAACUGCUUUUAUACAGGAAGAAACCCUCCCACGUGUGGGAGCUUGACGGUACUGUAGGAAUAAGGAUCGGCUAACUCCGUG